CAGUCGCCGCGGGAAUACGAAGGGUGCAAGCGUUAAUCGGAAUUACUGGGCGUAAAGCGUGCGUAGGCGGUGAGUUAAGUCUGCUGUGAAAUCCCCGGGCUCAACCUGGGAAUGGCAGUGGAUACUGGCUCGCUAGAGUGUGUCAGAGGAUGGUGGAAUUCCCGGUGUAGCAGUGAAAUGCGUAGAGAUCGGAAGGAACAUCUGUGGCGAAGGCGACUAUCUGGGCCAUUACUGACACUGAGGCACGAAAGCGUGGGGAGCAAACAGGAUUAGAUACCCCCGUAGUCCCUGUCUCUUAUAA
RNAcentral lists this ribosomal RNA (301 nucleotides) under uncultured bacterium. RNAcentral's name for it is "partial 16S ribosomal RNA". It matches the Rfam family "Bacterial small subunit ribosomal RNA", at positions 509 to 809 of the family's 1533-position model. The record is from RNAcentral.